Molecule: long non-coding RNA, 2051 nt
Organism: Dermacentor albipictus
Lineage: Eukaryota; Metazoa; Arthropoda; Arachnida; Ixodida; Ixodidae
Source: RefSeq, a predicted model, not a curated record
CAACGCGUAACGACGUACGACAUUCUCCAGAGAACCUGGUCUCCAGCUAUUGUUCUAAGGCCAGCCGCAACACCAAGAUCUACGAUUGUGAAGACUGAAGACGGUCGUGAAAUCCGUCGCACAAGAGAGCACCUGCGGGAGGCAGCACCUCAACCGGACCCAGAAUCAACCUCGCAGGGGCUUUCAGAAGACGAGCUCCGGCCUGGACAACAGCAGUUACGCAGGAGCACAAGAUUGCGUCGGGAACCCUGUCGAUACCCGUUGCCAGAUGAAACUUCUAGACCAUCCCAUCAUUAAAGGGGAGAUGUGGCCAUAUCACGCUGUCAUUCUGAUAGCGCCCAGACUGUUAACACGUGGCGUCUACGUCACGUGUUAACUAAGCUCAGUGGAGAUCGUCAACACGUUUUUGUCUAUCUUCGAGCGAGUAGGGUGUCCCGCAGAAAUCUUAGGGCAGAACUAAGGGAGCUCGUGUUUGAAUUGAAAGACAUAUUUUCAGACAUACCUGGCAGGACCGCUGCAAUCGUUCACGAUAUAGAGUUAACCUCAUCGGACCCAAUUCGUUCGAAAGCUUAUUGCGUUUCACCUCGUCAACGUCAAGUCAUGGCCACUAAAAUAAACAAGAUGUUAGAGCUAGGUGUAAUCGAACACGGAGAGAGUGAUUAUACCUCGCCUCUCGUCUUAGUUGAGGUCACACGAAAGGAGCCGCGACCGUGUAUCGACUAUCGCAGGUUCAACUUAAUCACGAAGGACCAGACCUUCCCUAAUCCGCAUAUCGAGAAAAGGCUUGAGAGAGUUGGCAGUGGUGAUAUCAUCUCCAGGCUCGAUUUAGUCAGAGGGUACUGGCAGGUUCCGUUGACCGAGAGGGCAAGCAGGCUUGCGGCGUUUAUUUCCCCGAUGGGAACCUUUCGGCCGAACGUGCUGAGCUUUGGAGUGAAGAAAGUGCCCUAUUGUUUCUCUAGCUUUAUGGACCAGGUGCUACGAGGAAUGGAGGACUUUACACUUCCUUAUCUCGAUCAGAGUCCCUCUAUACUUUUACUGGUCAUGAACCUUCGCCGUCUAGCUAUGGAAGAUCUCUGUGCACUGCCAGCGGAGGCCGCAGUGUGGCGCUGCGUGAAGCGGAGGGGCAGUAUAAUAGCAAGAGCUUGGUGGCGCAACCCACCGCCCGUUCCGAAGGGGACGGUGAUAACAUCCAUCCAUCCGGGCAUCGCGGAGGCGUGAACUAAGGUGGCAGCUGCUGUCAGUGCGAAGUAGCCUGGCUUGUGAGCUGACAGUUUUCGGCUUCUCCGUGUGCUGUGUCGCAUGAAAAUGUGCCCUAGGUGUGCCUGAAAGCCGGGUCAGGAUACCGCGCACUUGUUGGGUGCCUGGAUGCCGCUCCGGGUACAGGGAAAAUGCAGACAAAGUGUUGAUGUUCCGCCUGCCCAGUGACAGCGACCGGCGUGAAAAAUGGAAGCGCGCCAUACCACGCCGAGAACCUCCUGGCUUCAGUUUCGAAUCCCCGCAUGUGCGUAUCUGUGAAAAGCACUUCGAUGCGAGUGACAUUGUGCGUGCGGAUCAAUGGGUAGUUGAUGGCAUGGUCGUGACGUCGCAGUGCGAUGUGCCAGAACUUUCUCCUGAUGCCGUGCCGAGCAUUUUCGAAGGCCUCAUUGCGUAUUUGUAAAAUCCGAAAAAGUGCAGAACUCACUCGCCUCGACAGCCUAAGGCCACCAAGCUUGCCGGGAACCGUCAGCUGACCUGGAUAGCUCCGGCGCUGCAGCGACGAUGUGCUCGAGUUUGACGGGCGCAGAUGCAAGGGAGGCUGGCGCAGGCAUUGCGGGGAACGGAAGCGUACGUGUAGACGCCGCCUGUCAAACGAAGGCAGCUGUAUGCAGCUUCUCGCAGCUUAAAAAAUUGAAGGCCCAUAUCCGUUGCUUGGAGCAACGAUUUCAGUGCUGUCAACUGAAGCUCGCCAGGGUGACAGCUGCUUCAUUGCUUCAUCACUGCUUCAUUCAUACUGAUUGUAGUUACGAACAAAAUACAUUGGAUAAAAUGGAAAAUAAAUGUUUACAAGUAAG